Molecule: long non-coding RNA, 855 nt
Filed under: Homo sapiens (human)
Lineage: Eukaryota; Metazoa; Chordata; Mammalia; Primates; Hominidae
Description: HSALNT0373349
Source: RNAcentral
GGCGGGGUUGGCUCUAACGAAUUUGAAUGAGGAGCCUCAGCGCUUUCGGCGCCAUUUUCGAGUGAUGCCUGAUCUCAUCAAUCUAGCGGGAGAGACAGGAUAACCUGUCCGAGAGUAUAGCGCCACUAUGACUCCGCCGGAAAAAUUACUUUAAAAAUCGCCAAAAAUUACUUGGAGCAAAGGGCAGUCGGCGGAGCUUCGCCAAGGCUGGCGCAGUCGGUUUUGACCUGUAGCAGAGAACCAAUUCUGGAGAACAGCCUCACUUCUUUGAUUGAAUACUUACAUAAUGCAUUGGAACAUGACAUGAGAUUAAGGUUUAAUAAUGAUAGAAUGAAGACCACAAUAAAAGAGACCUCUACUUAGCUCAGCAAUUCUUACCUUUCUUACCUAUUUGAUGAAGAUGUCUUUUGAAAGGUGUACUGCAAGGAACAAAAUGUUUGUAAAUUCUCCUUUUACCAAGGUAAAGAUCAAAUUUUAUAAAUUUACUUGUUUGUUUAUACAAGGAAAAAUAACUUCAUAUAUUGAAUAUAUUCAAAAGUUUAAGCAUUUAGUUGUAUUGCCCUGUUAAGUUGGCAUAGCAAAUAAAUGCUUUUCUUUUCCUCAUUUUAUUCUUUGUGUUUCCUAACCUAUAGCACUGUGCUGGGCACAGAAUGGACUUCAGUUAAGUUUUUGAUGUAGAAAUGUUUUAUUAUUCUACUUAAAAUCUCCUUAAAAAUAAUUAUGCAUAUUACAUCAAUGUUAUAAUGUUUAAACAUAGAUUUUUUUACAUGCAUUCUUUUUUUCCUGAAAGAAAAUAUUUUUUAUAUUCUUUAGGCGCGAAUGUGUGUUUAAAAAAAAUAAAACCUUGGAGUAAAG